Molecule: ribosomal RNA, 482 nt
Filed under: uncultured bacterium
Lineage: Bacteria
Description: partial 16S ribosomal RNA
Rfam family: Bacterial small subunit ribosomal RNA
Source: RNAcentral
AUUGAACGCUGGCGGCAUGCCUUACACAUGCAAGUCGAACGGUAACGGGCCUUCGGGUGCCGACGAGUGGCGAACGGGUGAGUAAUACAUCGGAACGUGCCCGUUCGUGGGGGAUAACGAGGCGAAAGCUUUGCUAAUACCGCAUACGAUCUACGGAUGAAAGCAGGGGACCGCAAGGCCUUGCGCGGACGGAGCGGCCGAUGGCAGAUUAGGUAGUUGGUGGGAUAAAAGCUUACCAAGCCGACGAUCUGUAGCUGGUCUGAGAGGAUGAUCAGCCACACUGGGACUGAGACACGGCCCAGACUCCUACGGGAGGCAGCAGUGGGGAAUUUUGGACAAUGGGCGCAAGCCUGAUCCAGCCAUGCCGCGUGCAGGAUGAAGGCCUUCGGGUUGUAAACUGCUUUUGUACGGAACGAAAAGCCUUCUUUUAAUACAGGAGGGUCAUGACGGUACCGUAAGAAUAAGCACCGGCUAACUACGUG